Xyrichtys novacula (pearly razorfish) is the source of this 850-nucleotide non-coding RNA. Lineage: Eukaryota; Metazoa; Chordata; Actinopteri; Labriformes; Labridae. The record is from the annotation of a GenBank genome assembly.
UUUAUGACCUAUACUGCAUUCCGUCACUAGAGGGUGCUGUUCUCGCAGUGGCUUCCCCCAGCGAGGAGGCAGACGGCGUCCAUUCUAUGUACAGUCUGUGAUCAGGGUUCACACUCAGCAAUCCACCCCGUCAUGUCAGUCAACAAUGGCCUUGGACUUGGAGGUGCUGAACUCUUUUAUAUAAUUUAGCUACUUUCGAACAAGUCUGAUCCAAACAUCAGUGUCAGUGUUAGUCAUGACCUGCAGCAUGGCUACAGAUCUGCUUAUUCAUGGUCUGUCAAAGUAAGCCAAAGUCAAUGUGAUGUUUGCUUAAAACAAGAUCCAUUAUCCUUAUUUUCAGUGCAUUAUUUAAUCCUCUUUUCUUCACCAGGAUGAGAUACCGAACCUUCUUUUCUUCAUUAUGCUAAAAUCAGGGUUACUAAGCUGUUUGAGGGAUUUGGGCGUCCACUGAGGUAUGAAGUGCAAACACUGUCUGGGGUAAGAGAUCUUCAUUAGUGCCACAGCUGGCACUGCUGCCUGGCAUUUACCUGCAAUUAUUGCAGAUAUGGAUUUUCAACUUUUAGAUUAAUUUUCAUUUAUAUCCUCAGGUACCUGCGUGAGGUCUGAAGUCCUGGGGUCAAAUUCAGAGUCACCAAACACCCAAUGAUCUCCUCGGCUGUAACACAAAACCAGAUUUUCUGUUGCUGUUUCAGGAUUCUGGUUUUCUUUUCUGUCUCCCGGGUUUAGCAGCAUAAUAAUAACUUCGCCAACAGAAUUGGAGCUUUUGCUGUUUUGUUCCCUGUUUGGCAAAGAAGCAUCAUUGGUGAGUUUAUUUACUUGCCUACUGUUUCCUAUAAGCCUUGGUUUUGAC